RNAcentral lists this small RNA (135 nucleotides) under Drosophila guanche. The record is from RNAcentral. Lineage: Eukaryota; Metazoa; Arthropoda; Insecta; Diptera; Drosophilidae.
UUGGCAUUGAAUCCGAUUCAAUGGAUUCUAAGCCAUCCUGUUUGCCUAGAAUAAUCAAUGAAGAUUUUUUCGCUAACAUUGCGUGUCGUUUUUCGGACACUGACGCAUAGUUUGAUAGUAGAUCUCUUCACAUUU